UCCUACGGGAGGCAGCAGUGGGGAAUAUUGGGCAAUGGAGGAAACUCUGACCCAGCGACGCCGCGUGCGGGAUGAAGGCCUUCGGGUUGUAAACCGCUUUCAGUAGGGAAGAAGCGAAAGUGACGGUACCUACAAAAGAAGCACCGGCUAACUAUGUGCCAGCAGCCGCGGUAAUACAUAGGGUGCAAGCGUUGUCCGGAAUUAUUGGGCGUAAAGAGCUCGUAGGUGGUUCGAUACGUCGGAUGUGAAAAUCAGGGGCUCAACCCCUGACCUGCAUUCGAUACGGUCGAGCUAGAGUUUGGUAGGGGAGACUGGAAUUCCUGGUGUAGCGGUGGAAUGCGCAGAUAUCAGGAGGAACACCGAUGGCGAAGGCAGGUCUCUGGGCCAAUACUGACACUGAGGAGCGAAAGCGUGGGGAGCGAACAGGAUUAGAUACCCUGGUAGUCCACGCCGUAAACGGUGGGCGCUAGUUGUGCGAACCUUCCACGGUUUGUGCGACGCAGCUAACGCAUUAAGCGCCCCGCCUGGGGAGUACGGCCGCAAGGCUAAAACUCAAAUGAAUUGACGGA
Molecule: ribosomal RNA, 569 nt
Filed under: uncultured bacterium
Lineage: Bacteria
Description: bacterial SSU rRNA
Rfam family: Bacterial small subunit ribosomal RNA
Source: RNAcentral